This 374-nucleotide ribosomal RNA is filed under the name uncultured bacterium. Its description in RNAcentral is "bacterial SSU rRNA". It matches the Rfam family "Bacterial small subunit ribosomal RNA", at positions 28 to 402 of the family's 1533-position model. The record is from RNAcentral.
GACGAACGCUGGCGGCGUGCUUAACACAUGCAAGUCGAGCGGUAAGGCCCUUUCGGGGGUACGACGAGCGGCGAACGGGUGAGUAACACGUGGGUGACCUGCCCUCCAGCUCUGGGAUAAGCCUGGGAAACCGGGUCUAAUACCGGAUAUGACUCCAUGACGCAUGUUGUGGGGUGGAAAGCCUUGUGCGGCUGAGGAUGGGCCCGCGGCCUAUCAGCUUGUUGGUGGGGUGAUGGCCUACCAAGGCGACGACGGUAGCCGGCCUGAGAGGGCGACCGGCCACACUGGGACUGAGACACGGCCCAGACUCCUACGGGAGGCAGCAGUGGGGAAUCUUGCGCAAUGGGCGAAAGCCUGACGCAGCGACGCCGCGU